Molecule: long non-coding RNA, 708 nt
Organism: Anguilla rostrata (American eel)
Lineage: Eukaryota; Metazoa; Chordata; Actinopteri; Anguilliformes; Anguillidae
Exons: 3
Source: RefSeq, a predicted model, not a curated record
GGCAUAUUUAGCUUUGCUAGAGGAUAUUGCUGCCCGCUCCUUACGGAGAGUUGUUGCCCGCUGACCAGGAGGUGACCGAGGAUAUGGUCUGAAAACCUGGCUGAUGACCCCACUUGCCAAUCCAGAAACCCCUCAGGAGGAAUGCUACAAUGACAUUCAUGCCCACACGCGCUCUGUGACAGAACACACCAACGGUCUGCUCAAAGGCCGUUGGAUGUGUUUGGACGCAGCCAGGGGCAAGCUUCUGUAUACCCCUGAGAAGGUGUGCAGGAUCAUUUUGGCCUGCUGUGUCCUACAUAAUAUUGCAGUGGCUUGUGGCAUUCCUUUGCCACCUGGACCAGAACCGCUGCUGGAUUACAUGCCAUGUGACGCACAGCUGAAUGCGGGACCUCCUGGUAGGGCUGCGCUCCAGGCUCGCCAGCAGUUAAUUCAACGAAUCUAAUGGCCUUCCACCAUGUCCCUCAUCACCUCGAGGAUAGCCACCUGGUUCUGGAGAAUGUCGUUGGUCAGGACCCGGGCGGGUGGCCUGCGGGAUUCUGCUGGCCUGCCAGUCUGGGAGGUCGAUUCUGUGGAUGUAUUUGUUUGAGAGGUCGACGGCAUGACUGCUGGAUUUGUUUGAGAGGUUGAUGGUGUAGAUGCAAGAUUUGUUUGAGAGGUUGAUGUAGAUGCAGUAUUUGUUUAACAGGUUGAUGUAGAUGCAGUAUUCGU